Molecule: long non-coding RNA, 1359 nt
Organism: Boleophthalmus pectinirostris (great blue-spotted mudskipper)
Lineage: Eukaryota; Metazoa; Chordata; Actinopteri; Gobiiformes; Gobiidae
Exons: 2
Source: RefSeq, a predicted model, not a curated record
GGUCACGUGGUGUUGCUGUAACUGAUAAUGUCUCUGUGCCACCUGCCCAACAGGUCUCCCACCCAGGGGCCUUAGACCUCGUGCUGGGGUUAGAUUGACACCUGCAUUUUGAUCAGGUAAAGACGUCCAACAAACCCACGUCAGAGGUCCUGGGCUUUUACUGUCCCAACAACAGAUAUAGCUCAACAACAGAUAUGUGUCACAGAAUUAAAUGCAGUGCUUUAGUUAGAGCCUUUUCUAGUGAUGGACUAGAACAGACAUGUCAGACUCAGGUCUGGGAGCCAAAUUUGGCCCGUUAUAUAAUAAUAUUUGGCCGAGAUCAUAUCAAAUAUGUAUUAGAGCUGACCUGCGGGCUACAGAUAGGCUAUCAUUUACUUUAUUCUGAAGCCAACGUAUUUAUCAAAGUCAAGUCAGAACCAAGUUUGAAUAAUCAACACUGGUCUUGUAUUCUUGAAUCUGCAGAUGAAAAUGGCACAUCAGAUCAGACGAUCACACGGAGAAACAGAGAACACCAAUUGUAAUGGUCCAAACCUGACUCAUUCAGUCCACAUGAGUCAAAAUAAUAGUAUAUAUAAUAUUAAUAUGAUAAAAACAAUGCCUGAAGAUGAUCACAAUUUCUGUAAUAAUCGUAAACAUGUACAAUAGCUCCCCCGGUGCUUACACCAUCUGCCACCACCACUCUUCUUUACAUUGUAUUCCCAGAGAUGAUCUAACAACUAAAUGAAUGUUGAACCCAAAGAAAUCUAGUGGCUGACUAUCAAACCCCCGCUCACUAGACUCUAGAAGUCACACAAAUAAUCUGUUUUAAUCAUGUGAGCUGCCCUUGUCUGCAUGUGAAUAGGAAAAUAAUCUUAAAUUUACAAAGAUCAGUUUGAAACUCCAGCUUCAACCUUGUUUAUCAGUUGCUGAAAUUGCAGUUUACAGUUAACAAAAAAGUAUAUUUUUCAUGAUGUAAUGUUUUCAUAAAUAAGACAUUUUAAUAGGCAUUUAAAAAAGGGUGUCUUCAAGAGCAAAUGAAUACAGUACUUCUCUUAGUUUCAGCAGUGUUUAUCACUAAGAUUUACAGUUAAACAAAACAAACACAAAUGAAUUAAAAUAAAUUAAGAUGUUUAUUUUUGUACAAAAUGAUGGCUGCAAACAUUUAGUGAGUAAACGGGGCACAGGGUAAAAGGAGCUUUCUCACUUCAGAUCCCGUUUCAAAUUCACUUAAGUCUGAAACAAUUACUGCUUCUAAUGAAUCCCAUUAGUGAACUAAUGCUUGGCUUUUUAAUAAUUGUUUAUAUAUGACCAAUGUUGUCACCGUUUAUAAUAAAACACAUCAACAAUAUGCUACAGUCAAAGAGGACCAGGCAUUUCAUC